GAGUUUGAUCAUGGCUCAGAGCGAACGCUGGCGGCAGGCUUAACACAUGCAAGUCGAGCGCCCCGCAAGGGGAGCGGCAGACGGGAUAGUAACACGUGGGAACGUACCCUUCAGUUCGGAACAACCCAGGGAAACUUGGGCUAAUACCGGAUACGUCCGUAAGGAGAAAGAUUUAUCGCUGAAGGAUCGGCCCGCGUCUGAUUAGCUAGUUGGUGAGGUAACGGCUCACCAAGGCUACGAUCAGUAGCUGGUCUGAGAGGAUGAUCAGCAUCACUGGGACUGAGACACGGCCCAGACUCCUACGGGAGGCAGCAGUGGGGAAUAUUGGACAAUGGGCGCAAGCCUGAUCCAGCCAUGCCGCGUGGAUGAUGAAGGCCCUAGGGUUGUAAAGUCCUUUUUAACGGGGAAGAUAAUGACGGUACCCGUAGAAUAAGCCCCGGCUAACUUCGUGCCAGCAGCCGCCGCCGUAAC
This 471-nucleotide ribosomal RNA is filed under the name uncultured Alphaproteobacteria bacterium. RNAcentral describes it as "bacterial SSU rRNA". It matches the Rfam family "Bacterial small subunit ribosomal RNA", at positions 9 to 524 of the family's 1533-position model. The record is from RNAcentral. Lineage: Bacteria; Pseudomonadati; Pseudomonadota; Alphaproteobacteria.